Molecule: long non-coding RNA, 377 nt
Organism: Lynx canadensis (Canada lynx)
Lineage: Eukaryota; Metazoa; Chordata; Mammalia; Carnivora; Felidae
Exons: 3
Source: RefSeq, a predicted model, not a curated record
AGAAGUGUGCACGCAAGUGGAGAUCUGCGCCCCGGCAGAAGCCGGGCUUCUCAGCGAAGGGAAGUGGACAGAAACACACUCGCGCUAGAAACACACACAGCCAGCUGGAGGCCUGGAAUGUUCUCCCCAACAGCUUCCCUCUGCAGAGACUGUCUGCACCACGCCUGUGGCCAGGUAUGGGGACUGCCAGCCCCAGGGCACACGCAGCCUACAUCCAUGCUCCUAGGAGAAGAGAACCAGAAAGUGAAGUCCACCAAGGCCAUGGUGCCCCUUCCAAGAAAUUGGCUGCACAUGCGCAGUGAAGGAGGAGAGCACGAAGCACCUGCAGAUCCACACUCAAUGUCCCUUUUGUUUAGAAGUCCUGCUGGCUUUAUAUC